This 529-nucleotide ribosomal RNA is filed under the name uncultured bacterium. RNAcentral describes it as "bacterial SSU rRNA". It matches the Rfam family "Bacterial small subunit ribosomal RNA", at positions 8 to 518 of the family's 1533-position model. The record is from RNAcentral.
AGGGUUCGAUUCUGGCUCAGGACGAACGCUGGCGGCGUGCCUAAUACAUGCAAGUAGAACGCUGAGGACUGGUGCUUGCACUGGUCUAAGGAGUUGCGAACGGGUGAGUAACGCGUAGGUAACCUACCUCAUAGCGGGGGAUAACUAUUGGAAACGAUAGCUAAUACCGCAUGACAAUAGGGUACACAUGUACCCUAUUUAAAAGGGGCAAAUGCUUCACUAUGAGAUGGACCUGCGUUGUAUUAGCUAGUUGGUAAGGUAACGGCUUACCAAGGCGACGAUACAUAGCCGACCUGAGAGGGUGAUCGGCCACACUGGGACUGAGACACGGCCCAGACUCCUACGGGAGGCAGCAGUAGGGAAUCUUCGGCAAUGGGGGGAACCCUGACCGAGCAACGCCGCCGUGAGUGAAGAAGGUUUUCGGAUCGUAAAGCUCUGUUGUUAGAGAAGAACGGUAAUGGGAGUGGAAAAUCCAUUACGUGACGGUAACUAACCAGAAAGGGACGGCUAACUACGUGCCAGCCGCAGC